CCCUGUGAAGGAGGGGGCGGAGAUUGGAGUUAAGCUGCCUCAAGCCAAGGAAUGCUUGCAGCUACCAGACCUGGAAGAGCCAAGAAUGCAUUCUUUCCUAGAAACCUCAGAGAAACUCAGUCUGUGGUGCUUUGUUAUAGCAACCCUAGGAAAUGAAUACAAUUAUGCAGUCCUGGUUUGCUCUUGGUCGACUCCGGACCACCAGGUUCUGGUCCAUUAAAGGACCUCAACAAGUGGAGCCCGAACAGGGACUUGGUACACGUAGGCAGAUUCAGACGGAGUGACCCCAGGGCCUAUUGAGGCCGUUUUUAACCUCUUUGGAAGAUUCGAUCCAAGGGGGACCCCAGCAUUCAAAAUGGAGAUGAAACAACAAGAACCCCAGGAAGAAGAAAUUCCAAUAUGGGCUAUGUCCGCUCUAAAGAUCUCCAGAAAGCACUGUCCUCGGCAACAUCAACCUUAUGAUCUCCCCACUUGGAGACAAAUAAAAUCCCUUACUAAUUGAGCUGAAAAUUUGGUCUUUCAACAGGGAAUGCCUCGGAGUCCUGGAUACAUUUUCCUGGCAAUGCCAAGCAGGAGUGCGUCGCCUCCCCCUGCUCGAGCCCUGACUUACCCAACCCCCCUCUAUGGCAGGUCAUAGAAUGGACAGAAAAAAGACUGAUCAUAUCAACCAAUGACUCCACCCAUAUACCCCCUCCCUGGAAUGUGAAAGGGCCCUCACACCCUGGGUGGGGAGGGGGGAAACUAAUUAACAUUUCUUUAGGCUAUGAAGUCCUUCCCUUGUGCAUAGGCCCAGAAAAAUUGUGCAUAAACGUCAGCGGACAAACUUGGGCUUUUGCCCUGCAUCCCAAAAAGGAUUCUCAGAUGUUGCUUAGACUAUUUACUGCCUUUUCUUUGUCUGUGAACCAUGUUUAUACUACUGAGACUUUAGGAAAAGAGUUAGGGAAAGAACAUUAUGCCAAGGGUUUACUUAUAAGAACUUCACUUAUGUUCCUGUUCGUUGGGACAAAUGUCAAACCAAGUCAAGAAAAUCAAUGUUUGUGGCUAAUCGUACAACUGUUGAUUGGAGACCCCAUGGUAUGUGGUUAUCUGAUUGCUCAGAUGAUAUUAACAACACUGUGUGUGAUAUGGAAGGUCACUGACACUAGGAUGGAACAUCACUAUGACAAAGGAUUUCUUGGGUAGCUUGACGGUGGAUUAGCCCCACCUCAUCCUAGGAUGUCCUCGAUAAACAGAGUGGGCCUGAACAAUGGGACAUUUGGAAACUGGCUGCGAGCUCCAGAGCACCAAAGAACUUAAAACUUGGACUGGACAUUUCAUAGAGACCAGUCGUGGUCAUAGUAACUAUUUCUUUCGCUAUAAUCAGUCAUAUUUUAUAUAGGCCUGUGUCCUUUAUAUUUUAUAGGCUUGUGUCCCACUUCCUUUUGUUAUAGCCAUAGAAAAUUUACAAUUUAAUAGGACUUUUAUGUUCUGUAACUUGUAUUAAUUACAAACUAUAUACUUGUCUUAA
Long non-coding RNA from Bubalus bubalis (water buffalo), 1507 nucleotides. RefSeq lists it as uncharacterized. NCBI's taxonomy places the organism in Eukaryota, Metazoa, Chordata, Mammalia, Artiodactyla, Bovidae. The record is from RefSeq and is a predicted model, not a curated record. The transcript is spliced from 4 exons.